GGGUGACCGGAUGCCGANCUCGAAAACCUGUCCCAGUUCGGACUGGAGUCUGCGACCCGACUCCACGAAGUUGGAUUCGCUAGUAAUCGCGCAUCAGCCAUGGCGCGGUGAAUACGUUCCCGGGCCUUGUACACACCGCCCGUCAAGCCAUGGGAGCCGGGGGCGCCUGAAGUCCGGGACCGCGAGGACCGCCUAGGGCGAAACUGGUGACUGGGGCUAAGUCGUAACAAGGUAUC
RNAcentral lists this ribosomal RNA (236 nucleotides) under uncultured bacterium. Its description in RNAcentral is "partial 16S ribosomal RNA". It matches the Rfam family "Bacterial small subunit ribosomal RNA", at positions 1255 to 1500 of the family's 1533-position model. The record is from RNAcentral.